UUCCUGCCUUUCCUCAGGGAAAGAAUCUUCGUCUUCAUUCCGGUAGAAUCUCUCACAGAAACAUUUGCAGGGUAUUUCUUUCUUUUGAUAGUUUCUCUUCCCUCAUUUACUUGUAUUCAAAAUCAGCUCAAGUCCUAUCUCAUACAAACUUAAUCUUGAAUACUGUAAUACAUAUUGAUUAUAUUUUUUUCUCUGACUUCUUCCACACAAAAGUUUAGCACUGAAUCAAAAUAUGUUUUCAGAUACCUGUUUUGUCUUGCCAAUAAUAAUUGUGCAAGUGCUCUGCAGUUUGGGAUUUUUAACACCCUUUACAUUUAUUUGUAUUUCCAAAGCACUGUUAAUUUUUACUGACAGAAGAGCAUGUGUUUUAUUCUUCAAAACAAAUACACACUUUUUCCAGAAGAGUGUGAGUGCAGUUAUAGCCAAAUUCCUACCACCUUCUGCAGCAUAGUUUAAACCUUCUGUGAUCAGAACUUUUUUCCAGCAAAAUAAGAUUGAUCAGAGAACCUGGAAGAAGACUUGUUUUAAUCAGAGUUUUUCUCUUUCAAACUUGAAUGAACAGAAUUCAAAUUCCACACACUUUCUCUUGAAUCAGCACAUGGACAGUAAAAAUCAUCAAAAGAAUUUAGAAUAUGUUAAAUUCAACCAAGAGCAAAUUACUAAGUGAAAUUACUAAGUGAAACACCACUUAGUGAUAGUGAAAUAUCAACCAAGAACAAAACACUAAGCAAAGUAGAAAAUCACAGUAAGAGAGACAAGGAUAGAAAAGGGCAGGUAAAAUUAACGAAAUGGUAGAACAGGGCUACGGUGUGAAUAUGCGAGAAGACUUCUCCACCUUGUUGGGGCUCGUGAAUUUACAACACGUUAGACUGGGGGGAUUAAAUCCAGAACAGUCCCUGACUUGUAUAGGGGUGAAAAAUAAUACCUCAUUCUCUCCUUGCAAAGAAGUAUGCUUAUGGAGCUAGUUUCUCCUUAGCGGCCACUUUUUUCUAUUUAGCACGAAUGUGCCAUUGGAGUCAGCACCUGCCCUGAGUUAGGGCCUCUUCUCUCUUACAUCUGCUCUUUUUGUGCAGAGAGUAUGUGGCUGUGCUGUGCUGUGGAUAAACUGCUGGCACAGAGGUACAUAGAUGUCUGGUUGGUGCUGGCGGACCCCAGAAUCAGGGAGAAGCGCUCCUUCUUCUCUCUAGAGACACUGUACCCCUCAGGAAUAUCUCCUUUUUCGUUCAGUUUAACAUCAUAUGAGAAAUAGAUCAGCCGUAGCCCCAGACCUGGGUCUUGUCGAUACCAGAACAUUCUUUCAUGGUCCAUAUCCUGGACACAUUCCAGAAAAACUUUCUCUCCUGUCCUUUUGAUUAGAUAUCUUGAGCUCUGGGUUACUUUCACAUCCACGAGGCCUGUGAGAGGCAGAAAGCAAGGGUGAAAAAAACAGGCCACCAGGGAACCUGAGGAGAGAAAAACUUUGUAUACAAGACCUCGAAAUAGUAGGCCAGGAGUUGCCACCAACUCCCCAGACCCAACGACUCCCAGGACUCACCUACAGCCAGGAAACAAAAGGCCACAUAACAGAGGAGCCUGGUUCCCAUGGCUGCUUUGAAGAAAUAAUAGGUCUUCUCCCAGGGCCAGGCUGUGGGUUGACGGUUUGUGAUGUCAUUGUCCCAGCCCACACUCAUAAUCCCUCAGCCAUUGUCUAGACUAGAAAGGGUCUAGAGGUGCUAGAGAGUGAAGGGCAUCCCUUGUGCUCACGGAAGUGUCACUGUAUGUGUGUGCACAUAUAGAAAAGAGUUGACACAGUGGGCCUGAAACUGCCAUCCUUAGAAGGGCCUGCUUGCAUAGUUGGCUCUUGAUUUGCAUCUGCGAACUUAAAUUUUGGGAGUUUUCCCACCAUCAGUAACUGGUACGCAUGGCUUAGUGUGCCUAGACUGCUUGCACAAACCAUGUGGGUUAGGCUGAACACCUGCUUUACUGCAAGUCUGGAAUUCUGCUGCAUGAUAGGCAGAGGGUGCCAAUGUGAUUAGCUGAAUUAUUUUGCGAGGGCUGCCAUAAGUCACCACAGACCGGGUCAUUUAAACAACAGAAAUGUAUUUUCUCACACUUCUGGAGACUAGACAUCCAAGAUCGGGGUGUCAGCAGAGUUGGUUUCUCAUGGAGCCUCUCUCAUUGGCUUGUAGAUGGCUUCCCCCUGUGUCUGCACAUUGUCUUCCCUCUAUGCAUGUUUGUGUCCUAAUUUCCUCUUAUAAGGAUCCUAGUCGUAUUAGUGAGGACCUCAUUUAACCUUAACCACCUCUGUAAAAUCCUUAUCUCCAAACAUAGUCAUGUUCUUAAGUACUGGAGGCUGGGAUUUCAACAUAUGAAUGUUUAAUGAUACAAUUCAGCACCUAACACCAGCCACCAAAAGUAUUGGAGGUGCUGAAUCUCUAAUGAGCUUCCCUGGGCAGAAAGGUUGUUCUUACAUUGCUGCAUUGUUACUGUUGGGGUGAGAGUGUGCUCUCUCGCGGAAGAAGAGAACAUAAGAGAACAUGGUGGAGUUUGGAGAAACUCCAAACUUUGUUCCUUGUUAUCAUAGUAUUCUUACUACAUCUUUGUGAUACAUCUUUGCUAUGAGUACAAGCACAAGGUCCAAUGAGUUCUUCUGGUGAGUCUCAGUCUUUGAAAGUGAAGGUAAUUUUUCUCCUGACCAGCCUUACCAUUCUCUCUCUCUCUCUCUCUCUCUCUGUCUCUCUCUCUCUCUGUCUCUCUCUUUCCCCUCACUCUCAAAAUAUAUUUUAUUGAGAGCAGUCUUAGUUUCUCAUACAAUAUACUUAAUAAUUACUACAAGUAGCAUAUUGGUUAACCGGGCAGGCUUUGGAACUAUGCUGCCUGGGUUUGAACCUGGUUCAAAUCCACAUGUGUAGGUUCAUGUGAGUGCUCACAUGUGUAGGUUUACCUGAUGGGGUUGGGGAGAAGGUGGUAUACCAAUAAUGGGCUGGUAGAUGUGUUCAGCCCCAGGUGCAAGCGAUAAAGGGUGCAAAGCAUUUUAAAACAAUCAUAAAACCCAGGUGAAAUGGUUUUGCUUUUAUUAUCACCAAGUGCCAGGAAUUCUAAAUAGUUUGGUGAUAAAAGACUCCUUCAAUGCAACAUUUGUCCUUCUGGGACUGGCUUAUUUCACUUAGCAUUAUGUCAAACACAGAGAAGCGGAGAGCAGAAUGAUAAUUGCCAGGAAAGUGGGAGAAGGAAGUGCUGAGUUGCCAUUCAAUUGGCAUAAAGUUUCCACUAUACAAGAUAAUUAUGUUCUAGAAAUCUGCUAUACAACAUUGUCCCUAUAGUUAACAAUAUCAUAUUGUACAUUGGUUUUGUUUAAAGGUUAGAUUUCAUGCUCAGUGUUAUUCCCACAAUAAAAAGAAAUCUCACCAAGUAAUUUUGGUACACAUUGAGAACCACUGAUCAAAACAAAAGGGUGAGCUACAACUGUCAGUGUGAUGCUUAUACUGCAUGUUCCAGUAACACUUUACUUGUGGUUAUUUUGCUAACAUUAUUCAUUAAAACUUUCUAAUGGUCCAAA
Macaca fascicularis (crab-eating macaque) is the source of this 3538-nucleotide long non-coding RNA. The record is from Ensembl. NCBI's taxonomy places the organism in Eukaryota, Metazoa, Chordata, Mammalia, Primates, Cercopithecidae.